GCUGCCGAGCCAGGAGCCGGGCUAUUCUGGGCCCAGCAGGCCUGCCUGGGAGUGGGGCUGGGCCCGGGGGGAGCGCGGAGAGGCUGGUUGCUCCAGUCAAGGUCAGCGACGGGGAGGCACGUGGAGGAUGAAGCCACAGGACCACGGGCCAGUGUUGCAGCGACGCUUCAGCCUGAAAGGUGGGCACGGGGGGCCACUCCAGCCUCAGGCCCCGCCUCGCUCCUCCGUCCUGUUCUCUGCUUUCUCCUUUUUACCCGGGGCUUCCUGUUUGGGCUCAGCCUCCAGCAAAAUUGUUCCCUGGAUUUCAGCCACAACUGCGGACUGGCUGAUGGACCGAGCGUCGCAUCACAGGGACAGCAGCGCUCAAGGCGACCCCAGGAUGACGUUCUAGACAAGCCACUCUGCAGAUACAGAGGAGCGGAGACUCUCAAGGAGCUGCUCUCCACCUUCACGGGAGGACAAGCGACACCGCGAGUGAGAACGGUCAAGGCAGAACCACUGGUUACCACAUCGGAGCAAUGGGCUGCUGGGAACUUUAAACGCAUACCAAUGUGUCACCGCGCAGGACAGCAAGGCCCGAGGUGAGCCAGGCACAGCCGUGGCAGCAACUGCCACCCAAGGGCACCGCCAGGCAGAGGCCUGGGGAGAGCACUGCCCCGGGGAGGGAGAGAGCACCCCGAGUCUGUGCAAGGUUUCCUUUUUUCUUUUAAAUUCACUACUUGUAUUUUAGUCUCUCGUCUAGGAUGGACUUGAAUUUCUUUAAAGAAAGAAAAGCAGAAUGUGAAUGUGGGUAACGUUAUAUUAGAAGGAAAAUACAGAUUUGGAAACGCCAAUCUCUUAAGAAACCAGUUUUGGGUAUAUGGCACCCAUUCUAACCUAAAGAUUCUUAAAUUAAGUACUCCGUGUUUAACUGCCUCUCUCUGUGCUGAUGAUAGAGUACUCAGGGUGCAGGGAGCCCCAGAGCCUUACUGAACAGUUUGGCUAAUCAGGUCUGAGGGUCUCCAGCUGGAAAUCACAGACACUGAAACGUGAGGACUCCGUUACCCAACUGAUUUUAUCAGGAGCCG
This 1067-nucleotide long non-coding RNA is filed under the name Dasypus novemcinctus (nine-banded armadillo). RNAcentral describes it as "lncRNA (ENSDNOG00000051652.1)". The record is from RNAcentral. Lineage: Eukaryota; Metazoa; Chordata; Mammalia; Cingulata; Dasypodidae.